RNAcentral lists this ribosomal RNA (301 nucleotides) under uncultured bacterium. RNAcentral describes it as "partial 16S ribosomal RNA". It matches the Rfam family "Bacterial small subunit ribosomal RNA", at positions 509 to 807 of the family's 1533-position model. The record is from RNAcentral.
CAGUAGCCGCGGUAACACGGAGGGAGCUAGCGUUGUUCGGAAUUACUGGGCGUAAAGCGCACGUAGGCGGUUAUUCAAGUCAGAGGUGAAAGCCCGGGGCUCAACCCCGGAACUGCCUUUGAAACUAGAUGACUGGAAUCUUGGAGAGGUCAGUGGAAUUCCGAGUGUAGAGGUGAAAUUCGUAGAUAUUCGGAAGAACACCAGUGGCGAAGGCGACUGACUGGACAAGUAUUGACGCUGAGGUGCGAAAGCGUGGGGAGCAAACAGGAUUAGAUACCCCCGUAGUCCCUGUCUCUUAUAC